RNAcentral lists this ribosomal RNA (439 nucleotides) under uncultured bacterium. Its description in RNAcentral is "partial 16S ribosomal RNA". It matches the Rfam family "Bacterial small subunit ribosomal RNA", at positions 339 to 795 of the family's 1533-position model. The record is from RNAcentral.
CUACGGGCCGCUGCAGUGGGGAAUCUUAGACAAUGGGCGCAAGCCUGAUCUAGCCAUGCCGCGUGAGUGAUGAAGGCCUUAGGGUCGUAAAGCUCUUUCGCUGGGGAAGAUAAUGACGGUACCCAGUAAAGAAACCCCGGCUAACUCCGUGCCAGCAGCCGCGGUAAUACGGAGGGGGUUAGCGUUGUUCGGAAUUACUGGGCGUAAAGCGCGCGUAGGCGGACUGUUAAGUCGGGGGUGAAAUCCCGGGGCUCAACCCCGGAACGGCCUUCGAUACUGGCAGUCUGGAGUUCGAGAGAGGUGAGUGGAAUUCCGAGUGUAGAGGUGAAAUUCGUAGAUAUUCGGAGGAACACCAGUGGCGAAGGCGGCUCUCUGGCCUGAUACUGACGCUGAGGUGCGAAAGCGUGGGGAGCAAACAGGAUUAGAUACCCCGGUAGUC